UAGGGAAUCUUCGGCAAUGGACGAAAGUCUGACCGAGCAACGCCGCGUGAGUGAAGAAGGUUUUCGGAUCGUAAAACUCUGUUGGUAGAGAAGAACGUUGGUGAGAGUGGAAAGCUCAUCAAGUGACGGUAACUACCCAGAAAGGGACGGCUAACUACGUGCCAGCAGCCGCGGUAAUACGUAGGUCCCGAGCGUUGUCCGGAUUUAUUGGGCGUAAAGGCGAGACGCAGGUGGUUUAUUAAGUCUUGGUGUAAAAGGCAGUGGCUCAAACCCAUUGGUAUGCAUUGGAAACUUGGGAUAGACUUGAGUGCAGGAGAGGAGAGUGGAAGUUCCAUGUGUAGCGGUGAAAUGCGUAGAUAUA
RNAcentral lists this ribosomal RNA (361 nucleotides) under uncultured Lactococcus sp. RNAcentral's name for it is "bacterial SSU rRNA". It matches the Rfam family "Bacterial small subunit ribosomal RNA", at positions 355 to 698 of the family's 1533-position model. The record is from RNAcentral. Lineage: Bacteria; Bacillati; Bacillota; Bacilli; Lactobacillales; Streptococcaceae.